UGCCUGGCUUAACGCUGCAAGGGACAUAAUUUCCAGUGGUAUAAUGGACCGCUUGAGUCUCUCUUGUCAACUGGGAGUUUGAGUAUGCAGCGCAUUUGGAAAUGCAGCCCAUCCUAACCCAGCAACUGGCAAGGGAGAAAUCCAAAUCUAUCAGUCGCUAUUUCAGCCUGCGACUUCUGCUCGCCUUUGUCCCAUCCGAGCGUGAGUCUAUGAGAUCAUUCAAGUAUGGAGACUUGGCAGCCUCCAUGUGCGUACAAAGACGGCUGUUUGAAUUUCAGACUAAGUGUCGUUCUGGCUAAGGAUAAAUUAUUUGCUGUGUUACAUGAGGAUUUGCUGCUUUAUCUGGCCUGAAUAAGGUGAACCCUGAGGCUGUGAGGGCAAGGGAGGAGAGCAGAGAGCCCGGGAGAAUGGGUGAAGCUGGCAAAGGCUGGACUGAAAAUGUCUGCAAAGUUAGCAGAGGACUUGGCCUGCAAAGGGAGACCUCGGUAUCAUGGAGGGCCCUUGCCUGAAUGUGAAGCCUACAGCCAUAUUUUAAAACAAAACACUAACACAUUCAGCGUGCCUUACUUUUGCUCCAAAUCACUGCAGCUGUGGUAAUUAGAGAACUCUUCCAGCCCUCCAAAUGAGGCAAACUGGCUCCAUCAGUACAGACCUCCCUCAUGAAAGCCACAGUGAUGUCACGCCCAGCAGCACAGGAGGGGAUCAGAGCGUGCUCCUACCAAGUUAGCACAGCCCCAAGAGAGUUCCCUUUUUGCUGCAGAGCUAAAGCUUUGGUCGUGGACUCAUUUGGAAGCUUUGUGCUUUACUCGUCUUCGUGUUUAUGGAGUAUCAGUGGAUUAACAACAAAAAAAGACAAAAGCAGUAACAUCUGACCUCCAGAGCUGGCGAUGUCUUUUUCCCUUCCUCUUUGUCCUCAUCUUUUCACGGUAAAGAAACGGAGUAGAACAUUUGGUGUUUGCUUCCAGGUGAUCUGUUCUUUUUCACCCUUCUCCUCCUCUCCUUGGGGAUGGAGGCCUCCACCAUCCUUUGAGAUGUCAGGAAUUCUAGGCGAAGAUUUAUGCAGCAGCAUAAAGAGGCAUUAGACCGUGUAGUGAGGGUCAGACAUAUGGUAGCAAUGAUUGCACAGCCCCGUAAAGCAGACUCCCUGCAAAGCCCUGGAUGCGUUGUGAGAAGUCUUUCCUUGGAAGCAACGUGCUUAAAGAUGACCUCAUGUCAGAUCUGGGCAGGUAUGUGCUGCACACAACAAGGAUGGGAACAAACAAUGCUGUUUUCCUUUCCCAAAGUAAGUUAAAUUCACUUCUGUGUGGAAAUGAGAUUGAAGCCCGUGUUUUCUUUCUCUCUUGACUCCACUCAGUUAGCUGUUGAGAAUAGCAGCUCCUCAGGUCUCUGGUA
Lagopus muta (rock ptarmigan) is the source of this 1392-nucleotide long non-coding RNA. RefSeq lists it as uncharacterized. The transcript is spliced from 6 exons. The record is from RefSeq and is a predicted model, not a curated record. NCBI's taxonomy places the organism in Eukaryota, Metazoa, Chordata, Aves, Galliformes, Phasianidae.